This 253-nucleotide ribosomal RNA is filed under the name uncultured bacterium. RNAcentral's name for it is "partial 16S ribosomal RNA". It matches the Rfam family "Bacterial small subunit ribosomal RNA", at positions 524 to 776 of the family's 1533-position model. The record is from RNAcentral.
UACGGGGGGGGCAAGCGUUGUUCGGAAUUACUGGGCGUAAAGGGCUCGUAGGCGGCCAACUAAGUCGGAUGUGAAAUCCCCAAGCUUAACUUGGGAACUGCAUCCGAUACUGGAUGGCUUGAAUCCGGGAGAGGGAUGCAGAAUUCCAGGUGUAGCGGUGAAAUGCGUAGAUAUCUGGAGGAACACCGGUGGCGAAGGCGGGUCUCUGGGCCGAUACUGACGCUGAGGAGCGAAAGCGUGGGGAGCGAACAGG